Panicum virgatum (switchgrass) is the source of this 815-nucleotide long non-coding RNA. RefSeq lists it as uncharacterized. NCBI's taxonomy places the organism in Eukaryota, Viridiplantae, Streptophyta, Magnoliopsida, Poales, Poaceae. The transcript is spliced from 2 exons. The record is from RefSeq and is a predicted model, not a curated record.
UAAUCCUUCCCUGAAUACGCUCUCACUCACUGCUUGUACUGGGCGCUUCUGAAAUGUUGGAUUGCAUGUCAGGAUCUGUCGCGGUUGCAAACAGAGGCACAGAGCCCCGAGAAGACCGGGCCGCGGCCGUCCUGUCCCGGCAAAAUGAGACCGGGCUGCCCCGAGAAGCCCAGCAAGGCGGAGAUUUUUGCAGCCUAAUGCUAGGAUUCUUCUGCUUCUGGAGUUAUGCUCCUGGCCGGCGCGGAGAAUGUCCUGCUGUUUGCAGACGAUGCCGUCUCGGGCGGAGGCUUCGCCAGAACCCGGCUUCGCCAUGGCCGUCCCCUCUCCUGCGAUGGCCAUGGCCGUGGCGAACGGCGAUGCCCACGGGCCUCCGCAAUUGCUCCGCAAUUACUGCCGGCUCAUCGUACGCCAGUCGCGUCGGCAUGAAUGCGAACUGACGGCUGCGCGUCCCGUGCGUGUGCGUCGCCAAGGACGCCGUACCACUGCCUCUACGGCCUACAGCGAUCGGCCAGGCACAAAUAUUUACUGCUGGGUUAAGUUAAUUAGUAAUAACACGGCCGGCGACGAAGCCGUUACAGGUUUAUUACAGCUGGGAGCUGUGGAGAAGAGGGUGGGGGUGGCGGCGACCAUGGCCAUGUGAAACGGAACGGACAAAGCGUGGCCGCCAGGCGGGAACGGUAAAGCUGGUCCUGUCCCUCGCGCUCGCAAGCGUAAUAAUCGAUGGGUUUCGUACCUUGCUUUUACCAUGCAACGUCACUGCUCUGGCAUUGAGGCACUGUUUAGUUUCCACCCUAUAAACCCGUAAACACAAAAAA